Molecule: ribosomal RNA, 253 nt
Filed under: uncultured bacterium
Lineage: Bacteria
Description: partial 16S ribosomal RNA
Rfam family: Bacterial small subunit ribosomal RNA
Source: RNAcentral
UACGUAGGUGGCAAGCGUUGUCCGGAAUUACUAGGUGUAAAGGGUGCGUAGGCGGGUGAUAAAGUCAGGUGUGAAAUACCACAGCUCAACUGUGGGACUGCACUUGAAACUUAACAUCUUGAGUGAGGUAGAGGUAAGCGGAAUUCCAAGUGUAGCGGUGAAAUGCGUAGAUAUUUGGAGGAACACCAGUGGCGAAGGCGGCUUACUGGGCGUUAACUGAAGCUGAAGCACGAAAGCAUGGGGAGCAAACAGG